UUCUUUCGGGGUCCGAGUUGUAAUUUGUAGAGGGUGUUUCGGGUGAGGCGCCGGCCUAAGUUCCUUGGAACAGGGCGUCAUAGAGGGUGAGAAUCCCGUAUGCGGCCGGUGACCGACCCCGUGUGAAACCCCUUCGACGAGUCGGGUUGUUUGGGAAUGCAGCUCUAAAUGGGUGGUAAAUUUCAUCUAAAGCUAAAUACCGGCCAGAGACCGAUAGCGCACAAGUAGAGUGAUCGAAAGAUGAAAAGCACUUUGGAAAGAGAGUUAAAAAGUACGUGAAAUUGUUGAAAGGGAAGCGCUUGCAACCAGACCUGUGUCCGGGUGAUCAGCCGCCGUUCUCGGCGGUGUACUCGUCCGGUACAGGCCAGCAUCGGUUCGGGCGGUCGGAUAAAGGCCUUGGGAACGUAGCUCCCUUCGGGGAGUGUUAUAGCCCUCGGUGCAAUGCGGCCAGCCUGGACCGAGGACCGCGCUUCGGCUAGGAUGCUGGCGUAAUGGUUGUAAGCGGCCCGUCUUGAAACACGGACCAAGGAGUCUAACAUCUAUGCGAGUGUUUGGGUGUCAAACCCAUGCGCGGAAUGAAAGUGAACGGAGGUGAGAACCCUUAAGGGCGCAUCAUCGACCGAC
This 624-nucleotide ribosomal RNA is filed under the name Thelomma mammosum. Its description in RNAcentral is "eukaryotic LSU rRNA". It matches the Rfam family "Eukaryotic large subunit ribosomal RNA", at positions 126 to 769 of the family's 3401-position model. Lineage: Eukaryota; Fungi; Ascomycota; Lecanoromycetes; Caliciales; Caliciaceae. The record is from RNAcentral.